RNAcentral lists this ribosomal RNA (232 nucleotides) under uncultured bacterium. Its description in RNAcentral is "partial 16S ribosomal RNA". It matches the Rfam family "Bacterial small subunit ribosomal RNA", at positions 116 to 334 of the family's 1533-position model. The record is from RNAcentral.
CGUGGAUAAUCUACCCAGUAAUCCGGGAUAACAUCUUGAAAGAGAUGCUAAUACCUGAUAAGCCCACGAUCUCUUCGGAGAACGAGGGAAAAGGUGGGGACCUUCGGGCCUGCCGUUGCUGGAUGAGUCCGCGGCCCAUUAGCUAGUUGGUAGGGUAAUGGCCUACCAAGGCUACGAUGGGUAGCUGGUCUGAGAGGAUGAUCAGCCACACUGGAACUGAGACACGGUCCAG